RNAcentral lists this ribosomal RNA (440 nucleotides) under uncultured bacterium. RNAcentral's name for it is "partial 16S ribosomal RNA". It matches the Rfam family "Bacterial small subunit ribosomal RNA", at positions 338 to 795 of the family's 1533-position model. The record is from RNAcentral.
CCUACGGGUGGCAGCAGUGGGGGAUAUUGCACAAUGGGGGAAACCCUGAUGCAGCGACGCCGCGUGUGGGAAGACGGUCCUCUGGAUUGUAAACCACUGUCCCCAGGGACGAAGAUGACGGUACCGGGGGAGGAAGCUCCGGCUAACUACGUGCCAGCAGCCGCGGUAAUACGUAGGGAGCGAGCGUUGUCCGGAAUUACUGGGUGUAAGGGGAGCGUAGGCGGGGAUGCAAGUUGGGUGUCAAAACUACGGGCUCAACUGGUAGUCGCAUUCAAAACUACAGCUCGUGAGUGCAGUAGAGGCAGGCGGAAUUCCUAGUGUAGCGGUGAAAGGCGUAGAUAUUAGGAGGAACACCAGUGGCGAAGGCGGCCUGCUGGGCUUUUACUGACGCUGAGGCUCGAAAGUGUGGGGAGCAAACAGGAUUAGAUACCCCUGUAGUC